RNAcentral lists this long non-coding RNA (252 nucleotides) under Homo sapiens (human). RNAcentral describes it as "HSALNT0142532". Lineage: Eukaryota; Metazoa; Chordata; Mammalia; Primates; Hominidae. The record is from RNAcentral.
UUGGUUGCAAGUAACAGAAACCCAACGCUAAUUAAUAAACGGGAAAGUGUGUCAGUGGAAAGCUCCACAAGUCCGACGGAAAGAGAAAACUGCUUUCCCAAAGGGUGUAAGAGGAUGAAAGGCAUGUCAUCAGCUGAAUUGCAUCAGGUGUCCAUCUUGGAAUCAAUCACGGUGCCUCUUAUUAGCAAAGCCUGAGUCAUAGUGCAGGAAGGGGUGGAGCCAAGGGGAGACACUGAAGGAACGUACUGAAGU